AUCGCCGUGGCCCAGUGGAACGGCGCCAGGCUCAUAACCUGGAGAUCCUAGGAUCGAGACCUAGCGGCGAUA
Non-coding RNA from Vanrija pseudolonga, 72 nucleotides. NCBI's taxonomy places the organism in Eukaryota, Fungi, Basidiomycota, Tremellomycetes, Trichosporonales, Trichosporonaceae. The record is from the annotation of a RefSeq genome assembly.